GAUGAACGCUGGCGGAGUGCCUAAUACAUGCAAGUCGAGCGAACGGACGAGAAGCUUGCUUCUCUGAUGUUAGCGGCGGACGGGUGAGUAACACGUGGAUAACCUACCUAUAAGACUGGGAUAACUUCGGGAAACCGUAGCUAAUACCGGAUAAUAUUUUGAACCGCAUGGUUCAAAAGUGAAAGACGGUCUUGCUGUCACUUAUAGAUGGAUCCGCGCUGCAUUAGCUAGUUGGUAAGGUAACGGCUUACCAAGGCAACGAUGCAUAGCCGACCUGAGAGGGUGAUCGGCCACACUGGAACUGAGACACGGUCCAGACUCCUACGGGAGGCAGCAGUAGGGAAUCUUCCGCAAUGGGCGAAAGCCUGACGGAGCAACGCCGCGUGAGUGAUGAAGGUCUUCGGAUCGUAAAACUCUGUUAUUAGGGAAGAACAUAUGUGUAAGUAACUGUGCACAUCUUGACGGUACCUAAUCUGAAAGCCACGGCUAACUACGUG
RNAcentral lists this ribosomal RNA (497 nucleotides) under uncultured bacterium. RNAcentral describes it as "partial 16S ribosomal RNA". It matches the Rfam family "Bacterial small subunit ribosomal RNA", at positions 28 to 507 of the family's 1533-position model. The record is from RNAcentral.